AAAAGGUGUUUCUCUCUCUAUACUCUUUGUCGCCGUCAAUCACUUACACAAAACUUUUUUCUUUAGCCUCUCCUCUCUCGCCGUCUCUCCCAAAUGGAUUUUUUUUUUCUUUUUGUCGACAAAGUCGAAGAGAUGUAGUCAUGUAGAGGAAGAGAAGACGGCAAGAUUUCAUGGCUAAGAAUCUUGAUUUGUAUAAUGAUUUUGUGUUUGUCUGAUCAUCAUCACGAUUUUGAGAUGAUAACCUCAGUCUCAUUAAUUCGCAAUAACUCAACCUCAGAAACAUGCGUGAUUCAUCUCUCCGGUCAAGUAAGCCUUGCUCUGUCGCCGCCGUCAAUUUAUGGUUUCAUGCUCGCAAGAGUUUUUUUGGCCAUGGAAGGUGCAGAGGAUUUCCUUAGAAUAUGAAACAUUUCAAUAUUAUCAAGCUCUGGAUGUGAAAAGGAUUAGAGAGGUGACUUAUAAGAAGAGAGGUGAAGAUGAUUCGGUGAUCAAUUUGAAGAAGAAGAAGAAGAUAUCGACUCCGAACAUGAGUCCAACCCUCAGCCUAAGCCUAAUUACGCUUCUAUAAAUCUCUCCCUCUUCUAUGUCAUUUAAUUCGCCAUGUUUUUUUUUCUUUUCAGUUUUUGCAUAUUCAUGGGCAAUGAUUUUUUUUAUCACACGUUGGACUGAUUUCAUAUGCAAUGGUUUUAUUUAGGUGAAUCUGUAUGCAAGCUAUUAUUAGUCCAUAUUUUACUCCGUUUUCUUACUUUCAAGUAUAAUCUUCUUCUUGACCUUAGUACACGUUGAACUUAAUUCACUAAGGUUAGUUUUAUAAAACAUUUUUCUUUUAAUAGUAGGGAUUGGUGAUGGUUCACUAUCUGUAUAUUUAUACAUCCUUGAAUGGUUUUAGAUUUGAAAAACCGAUACUUAUAAGUAAACAGAUCCUUAUGAUAUUGGUGAUGAUUCGGUUUGUCUAAGUUGUAUAUUGCAUGUUUUGGUAAAUUAAUUUGCAGAGUUUGGUUGUAUCAGUUGCAGGUUCUGUUUCUAAGUUGUAGGUUUAUUUUGAAAUAUAAUUUUGUUUGGUUUACAGGCUUGAUGAUUCACGUUUACAGUUGAAAUUUGAUUUGCUUUAGAUGCGUUUACGAAAUGCUAGGAAACAUGAUGAGGAACUUGACACAAGUGGGACAACAAUUCUCGAGAGUGCAUCUAAUUCCAUGAAACGAUUUGCAGUCCAUCUAGCUCAUCCUCUUAAGCAAUGCAGAGUCCUCCGGGUUGGAGAAGAAAUCGGGAUACACAUACCACCACUCCUCACCAUUUUCUUUGAGGUACGUAUUACUAUUAAAUUCUUUUUGUUACCUUUUUCCUGAACCAUUGUUAAUAUUUCUGGUUUCUUACCUUUUUGUUGUGUAAGUUUGCAGGUUUUAGUUAAUUAUUUUGUAGGGUUCGGUUAAUUAAUUUGCAGAUUUUGAUUAUCUAAGUUGCAUGUUUGGUUUGUCUAAGUUAUUAUAUAGAUUGCAGGUUUCGUUUGUCUAUGUUACAAAUUGUAGGUUUUUGUGAAUUAAUUUGGCUUUAUAAGAUGCAGGUUCAGGUUUGAGAAAAUGCAGGUUUUCUUUGCAGGCUUGAUGAUUCAUGUUUGCAGAUGAAAUUUUAUGUCCCAUAAAUGCUUUUCAAAAUGACUAAAUGAGGAACUCGACAUAAUUGUUACAUUAUAUCUUCUUAGCAGACUUCAACGAUGCAGGGUUCUCCAGGUUAUGAACUGGGGAAAUUUACAAGAAAUAUGUCAAUGGUCGAAUAUGUGGAGCUGUAAGCUGCUAGCAAAAAGACAAGUUUCGUUUUUGUUUUUUUCCAUUAUACUCAUUCUCUCUGUUAAAUUAUUUUGGAAAUCAUUAAUGAUAUUUUAUAUUUUGUGUGAUCCAGUUAUCAAAAUUGAAUUUUGAUCCAUAUUUUGUUGAAAGUGGGAUUCUAUAUGGUUAAUGUUGUUAUAA
Molecule: non-coding RNA, 1961 nt
Organism: Camelina sativa (false flax)
Lineage: Eukaryota; Viridiplantae; Streptophyta; Magnoliopsida; Brassicales; Brassicaceae
Source: RefSeq, a predicted model, not a curated record